This 552-nucleotide ribosomal RNA is filed under the name uncultured archaeon. RNAcentral describes it as "bacterial SSU rRNA". It matches the Rfam family "Archaeal small subunit ribosomal RNA", at positions 326 to 878 of the family's 1478-position model. The record is from RNAcentral.
CGGGGUGCAGCAGGCGCGAAAACUUUACAAUGCGGGAAACCGUGAUAAGGGGACACCGAGUGCCAGCAUCAUAUGCUGGCUGUCCAGGUGUGUAAAAUACACCUGUCAGCAAGGGCCGGGCAAGACCGGUGCCAGCCGCCGCGGUAACACCGGCGGCCCGAGUGGUGAUCGUGAUUAUUGGGUCUAAAGGGUCCGUAGCCGGUUUGGUCAGUCCUCCGGGAAAUCUGACGGCUCAACCGUUAGGCUUUCGGGGGAUACUGCCAGGCUUGGAACCGGGAGAGGUAAGAGGUACUACAGGGGUAGGAGUGAAAUCUUGUAAUCCCUGUGAGACCACCUGUGGCGAAGGCGUCUUACCAGAACGGGUUUGACGGUGAGGGACGAAAGCUGGGGGCACGAACCGGAUUAGAUACCCGGGUAGUCCCAGCCGUAAACGAUGCUCGCUAGGUGUCAGGCAUGGCGCGACCGUGUCUGGUGCCGCAGGGAAGCCGUGAAGCGAGCCACCUGGGAAGUACGGCCGCAAGGCUGAAACUUAAAGGAAUUGGCGGGGGAGCA